UGAAAUACAGGGGUUUAUAAACCCAAAAGACGUCUACUGAGAUUUGGAUCAUGUGGACUGGCCAGGUCCAACAUAAUCACUUCCCAGUUACACGGGAAACAUCAUCCCGAACUUGGUAAUUCUGGGUCUUCUAAAUUCUCAUCAUACUAUACAUAACAAAACUUAAGUUCGUAACAGUAAGCUAAUAGCUGAAGCAUAGGGUCUUAUCUCUUAGACUUAUAUUCUGAACGUUCAACAUUCUUCCAUAAGUAGAUAUAUUACAACAUAGUAAUGUAACAGUCCAACCAUAUUCUUUCCAUAACUCAUCAUGAAACGAAGUCAAUUUGAUAUUCUGUCAUGUGUGAACUUUCGAACGUAGAGACUAUGCUUAAAACCUUCGUGGUGUAACGUCCAUCUUAAAGUUAUCUCAUGCCACCUUUCGUUGACUUACUUUCAACGUGGCACGUAUCUUUUCAGUCUAUCU
RNAcentral lists this long non-coding RNA (463 nucleotides) under Salvia miltiorrhiza (redroot sage). RNAcentral describes it as "long non-coding RNA (SMIL_LNC003444)". Lineage: Eukaryota; Viridiplantae; Streptophyta; Magnoliopsida; Lamiales; Lamiaceae. The record is from RNAcentral.